RNAcentral lists this long non-coding RNA (2723 nucleotides) under Monomorium pharaonis (pharaoh ant). Its description in RNAcentral is "uncharacterized LOC118646848". The record is from RNAcentral. Lineage: Eukaryota; Metazoa; Arthropoda; Insecta; Hymenoptera; Formicidae.
AAACAAAUAUUUAGUAGUAUUACAUAUUUUUUUAUUAUAUAUACAUACACACACACACAAAUAUAUAUAUUUCAUGUCAAGUGAGCCACCCCAUUUUCGUCAGGUCAGAAUUUUUUUUUUACCUAACGCGACUUAAAAUUGUCCUUGUCAUCUCUACUUUAUUUUAAAAGUUCAAGUGAACAAAUUCAAAGAUGGCGCAAUUCGAUCUUUCUCGAGAUUCAGAGCAUGAGCUCUAUUCUCCACGUAUCUAGAUGAUGUCAAGGAACUAAUCUAACGAGUUUGGGGGUUAAGAAUUCAAGAUGUAAGGGUUGGAGAUUUUAUUAAGGUUUACUUAAAAAAAAUAUUUUUUAUAAUUUAAAAAUUUUUUUCUAUUUUUCGUCAGCUAUAGUAAAUAGAACAUUUUAGUUUUUGAAAAUCUGACUACGGAUUUGUAAUCGAAGACCCAGGAAAUCCCCGUAUACUGAUUUUUAUGGAAUUUUGAAAUUUUUCAGUUUUUUGUUUGCCAUAUUGGAUCGGCCAUUUUGUACACGUAUACAGGUCGACCAUUGUGUUUACAUCGCUAUCAGUUUAGUCAUAGACUUACUAGAAUAGACUGCUCAUGAAGAUAGUAGCUUUGACUAUAAAAAUCUGGACUGCUAGUUGCCUAGGUUUUUGUGUAAUGGAGAUGAAACGCGCCUCCAAUUUUAAAGUGGCAGAAAUUGGAAACAUUAAGCAAGAUUCCGAUGGUAAAAGAUGAAGAAAGAGAGAGACAGAAUGAGUCAUUCGUCGCUGUUUUAUCAAUUUCUUGCAAAUUACCAAAUAUGCAUUUAAAAAAUUGGUGUAAAUAAAGACUGAAUUAGUUUUAUAAAUAUAUAUAUUUAUGCAGGUAUUUAUGCAGGUAUUUCUGCUAAUAUCUCCAUAAUAAAAGUAGAAGUAAUGCAAUUAAAAAAUUUUGUUUCUUUUAAUUAAUUUCUAAUUUUAUUAUGGGAAUAUAUUAGCAGGAUAUGCAUAAAUAUAUAUGUUUAUGACAUUAAUUCAACCUUUAUUUGCGUUAAUUUUUUUAAUGCAUUCGGUAAUUUGCAAAAAGUUGAUAAAACAGCGACAAAUGACUCAUUCUGCCUCUCUCUUUCCUCAUCUUUUACCAUCGGGAUCUUGCUUAAUCUGCCACUUUAACAUUGGGAGCGCGCUUCAUCUUUAUUACACAAAAACCUUUUGCUUUAGGCAAUUAGCAGUCCAGACUUCUAUAGUCAAAGAGUAGUAGUGGUAUCCGUCAUUGAAAAAAGGAUAACUGUCGUUAAUGUAAGUUGCUAUCUCUUUCUAAUACAGAACAGUGGGGAAGCAUAGCGACCAAUAACGGUGUCACAGUAUGCGCGCUACGCAUACUAUGAUACACGCUCACACUCUGACACCGUUAUUAGUCACUAUGCUUCCCCAUUAUUCUGCAUUAGAAAGAGAUAGCAACUCAUAUUAACGACAGUUAUCCUUUUCUCAAUGACGGAUACCCCCACUACUAUUUUUCCACCUCAUAAGCAGUCUAUUCUAGUAGUCAUACAUCAUGUUGGUUGCCAGCAGAGUUUCUUUCCAUCAGUAGAAACUGGAAAAACCGAUAUUACGUUAAUUUUAUCUAAGCAUUCUAAGCUAUGAAUUGUAGCCGCCAUAUUGAUUUCAUCAUUUAAAAUUCCAUGUAGCACAUAUUUACAAUCGAAAUCAGUAUCACGAUCCCAGCCACUUUCCAACGUUAAACAUUAUUCAUUUUGAAAAUAUUGACGAAUACAUUUGAAAGAACGGAGUCCAUACUCCAAAUUUCGGGAAAGAUUGAAGCGCCAUUUUUGAACCCGUUAAGAUCACAACUUGAAAUUUUAGGGAAAUAAAGUAGAGAUGGCAAGAAAAAUUUUAAACCGCGUUAGAUAAAAAAAAUAUUCAACCUGAUGAAAAUGGGCUCGACAUGAAAUGCUCUAUAUACAUAUAUUGUAUAUACACACACGUGCGCGCGCGCACGUACACAACUCUGCAUAAGUAUUUUCUUACUCUUUAAAAAUUGAAAAAAAUUUCUAAUUCCCUAGAUUUUCUUAACCCCUUGACCGUUAUGUUAAAAAAUCGUUUAUGUGCCAAGAAUGCUCCUGAAAGAGAAAAGACUGAGAUAGUAAAUAAGUUACUUUCUGGAAAUUUUAAGAAUCGCUGAAUACAAAAAUAGAAAUAGAAUUUCAAAAUUUUUAUUUAAUAAUUAAAUAUGGCGAAUUCAAAUUUGAUACAGUUUGAUGAAUUUAAGUCAGAAAUAUAACAGUUUCAUCUCAAUAUUGUCUUAAAAUUUCUGCCUGGUUUUCAAAGCUGAAGAUUAUGGAUCUGACGUCAGAUUUCGUUGAUUUAAUAUAGCUGAUCCAAUAUGGCAAAUAAAUAUUGGAAGAAAUGAAAUUUUCCAGAAACAUGUACCCAAAUUAGAAACAUAAAAAUACCAAUUCCAGUAAUUUUUAUAAACUCAUCAAACAUUAAACAGAAAUCACUUGAAUCAACAUAAGAAAAUGCCCGUGAUAUCCCGCUAUGAAGUUUGUGUCAUUUUUUGUUAUGACGGGAUAUCCCGUCAUUAACAGUCAAGAGAUUACUAGCUGAGAAAAAGUUAUCGGCCAACAGGCGUAGGUGGUGCAGACCAACUUUCAAAGACGCACACAAAGCACAAUUUUCAACGAAUUUAUAUAAACAUUUUUUUUACUUUCAAUGUAUAAUAAAAAUAAAAAACUUCGAAGUCA